UUUUUUUUUUCCUCAGAUGAUCACACCCACUUUGCUUCACUUUCAUGUCCAGAGCUGCUUAGACUGAUUUCUGCAAAGUGCACAGGCAUUUUCAUGCUGAGGAUAAAGGACCAUGAUCGCUUGUCUGGACCCAGAAAAUAUUUCCCAUUUGCUACACAGAUGCCGUCUCAUCCUUCCAGAGUUCAAGACUUCAGCAGAAAAAAAAAUCACCUCAUUAAAGGAAAAUUGUGCCUUAUCCCCACUACUCGAAGAUGCAACCAUCUGCCUGGUCACAGCCACUUUUUUCCUUUUUUUCUCACUCCAUCGUAUGUGUGUGUGGUGGGGCAGGGGAUAAGGGGAAUAAUCUCUCUCCAGUAUAAGAAGGUAAUGAUUCAAAGAUUUAAAUGCUAAACUUCUGGGACUUCGGGACUUACUAUAAAACUAGAUAAGAUCAACAACAACAAAAACAAUGCUUUCUAUUGAAAUUUGUACAGUUUUGCAAGUUCAUUUCUGCUCUUCGUCUGUUGAAGCAUCAAUAAAGUCCAAGAAAAA
This 531-nucleotide long non-coding RNA is filed under the name Homo sapiens (human). RNAcentral's name for it is "long intergenic non-protein coding RNA 2740". The record is from RNAcentral. Lineage: Eukaryota; Metazoa; Chordata; Mammalia; Primates; Hominidae.